Molecule: ribosomal RNA, 497 nt
Filed under: uncultured bacterium
Lineage: Bacteria
Description: partial 16S ribosomal RNA
Rfam family: Bacterial small subunit ribosomal RNA
Source: RNAcentral
GAUGAACGCUGGCGGCGUGCCUAAUACAUGCAAGUCGAGCGAACAGACGAGGAGCUUGCUCCUCUGACGUUAGCGGCGGACGGGUGAGUAACACGUGGAUAACCUACCUAUAAGACUGGGAUAACUUCGGGAAACCGGAGCUAAUACCGGAUAAUAUAUUGAACCGCAUGGUUCAAUAGUGAAAGACGGUUUUGCUGUCACUUAUAGAUGGAUCCGCGCCGCAUUAGCUAGUUGGUAAGGUAACGGCUUACCAAGGCAACGAUGCGUAGCCGACCUGAGAGGGGGGACCGCCACACUGGAACUGAGAAACGGUCCAGACUCCUACGGGGGGCCACAGUAGGGAAUUUUCCGCAAUGGGCGGAAGCCUGAAGGAGGAACGGCGGCUGAAGGAUGAAGGGCUUCGGGUCGGAAAACUCUGUUAUUAGGGAAGAACGAAUGUGUAAGUAACUAUGCACGUCUUGACGGUACCUUAAGAGAAAGCCCCGGCUAACUACGUG